CACCGCCCGUCGCUUGUAGUAACGAAUGGUCUGGUGAACCUUCUGGACUGCGACAGCAAUGUUGCGGAAAAAUAAGUAAACCCUACCAUUUGGAACAACAAGAAGUCGUAA
RNAcentral lists this ribosomal RNA (111 nucleotides) under Oryctolagus cuniculus (rabbit). RNAcentral describes it as "40S ribosomal RNA fragment from Oryctolagus cuniculus (PDB 3J0Q, chain h)". It matches the Rfam family "Eukaryotic small subunit ribosomal RNA", at positions 1667 to 1794 of the family's 1831-position model. The record is from RNAcentral. Lineage: Eukaryota; Metazoa; Chordata; Mammalia; Lagomorpha; Leporidae.